RNAcentral lists this long non-coding RNA (488 nucleotides) under Bos indicus x Bos taurus (hybrid cattle). RNAcentral's name for it is "lncRNA (ENSBIXG00000018933.1)". The record is from RNAcentral. Lineage: Eukaryota; Metazoa; Chordata; Mammalia; Artiodactyla; Bovidae.
GAGAGGACCUCCCCGUCCCCAGGCUAGAGGCUGAGGAGUUGGAAAAGACUCCAGUCUAUUCCCAGAGCAAGUGUAGCAUUGACUGCCUGGAGACUCAGAGCACAGUCCUAGGGCAGCCUUGAGUCUUCUGGGGCUGGGCCAACUCCUCCGCCCACCAGCUAAGCCUCACCCUGGAGGCAAGAGUAACCAAUCCACCCAAUUCCCCUGCUGCUGGACCCCUCCUGGACUACCAGUGCCCAUCGAAACUGCCAAUCCCUUUUGAGCUGGAGGAACCCUCAGGCCUGAAGACCAGCUCUCAAAGACCAAGAGAGGGUAGGGAGUCCAGAGAUAAGUACCUGGACCCAGCAAACUGGUCAGCGGUUGCAGACCAGAGGCACUUGGACAAAGUCUGUCCCACAGGCUUCAAGCUUGCUGGCUGGAGAUCACUUACAGAAAGAUCUUUGGGAAUUAACACAUUCUUAUGGCCAGGGAAUUCAGCUUGCAAUUGA